UACGUAGGUGGCAAGCGUUGUCCGGAUUUACUGGGCGUAAAGAGCGCGCAGGCGGUCGUACAAGUCGCGUGUGAAAGCCCCCGGCUCAACUGGGGAGGGUCACGCGAUACUGUUCGACUCGAAGGCAGGAGAGGGAAGCGGAAUUCCCGGUGUAGUGGUGAAAUGCGCAGAUAUCAGGAGGAACACCGGUGGCGAAGGCGGGUCUCUGGGCCGAUACUGACGCUGAGGAGCGAAAGCGUGGGGAGCGAACAGG
RNAcentral lists this ribosomal RNA (253 nucleotides) under uncultured bacterium. Its description in RNAcentral is "partial 16S ribosomal RNA". It matches the Rfam family "Bacterial small subunit ribosomal RNA", at positions 524 to 776 of the family's 1533-position model. The record is from RNAcentral.